Long non-coding RNA from Lolium rigidum, 580 nucleotides. RefSeq lists it as uncharacterized. The transcript is spliced from 3 exons. The record is from RefSeq and is a predicted model, not a curated record. Lineage: Eukaryota; Viridiplantae; Streptophyta; Magnoliopsida; Poales; Poaceae.
CAGUUAAGCUAGUCCUGCCCAACCAACGCAAACCGCUGGAAAAGGACAUGCCGUGGAUUGCUGCUGUAGAUCCAUUCAACGCCGAUGUUCUGUAUUACCAGUCUGGCCACGAUGUUAUUGCCAUGGACAUGGCUAACGGGGAGGUGAUGGGAAAGAGAGCUUUUCCAGAAAGCAUCACAGGCCUGAGCCCUUGCAACACCGCUUUCUUCCUCCCGUGCGUGCUCCCAACAUGGCUUGAAUCAAGCCAUGUCCCUGCUGCAGGUGCACUUCCGAGAAAGACACCCAAUUGCACAAAGAAUACUUUGGCGGAGACGUUGGUUCGUGUAGACAAAGACCAGAAGAAGUGAAGCACGCUUAUCCUUGAUUUCUUAAAUUUGAAUGGCAGCAAAGUUGGUGUUUUUUUUUUUGGAAUGGAGCAACGUUGAUGGUGGCACCUGAAGGACAUGGACCCUCAUUUUGGAGAAUUCCGGGACAAUUCUGGGCUUGCUUAUUUGCUGAUGCAAUUCCCCUUUGAAACAUUGGAUGUUCUUAUAAAUUUUUGAGAUACAUUUCACAGCAGUUUAGAUGGCAGCCCUUAGAA